CUACGUGCCAGCAGCCGCGGUAAUACAUAUGUCGCAAGCGUUAUCCGGAAUUAUUGGGCAUAAAGGGCAUCUAGGCGGCCAGAUAAGUCUGGGGUGAAAACUUGCGGCUCAACCGCAAGCCUGCCCUGGAAACUAUGCGGCUAGAGUACUGGAGAGGUGGACGGAACUGCACGAGUAGAGGUGAAAUUCGUAGAUAUGUGCAGGAAUGCCGAUGAUGAAGAUAGUUCACUGGACGGUAACUGACGCUGAAGUGCGAAAGCUAGGGGAGCAAACAGGAUUAGAUACCCUGGUAGUCCUAGCUGUAAACGAUGAUUACUGGGUGUGGGCAUGAAGAGUGUCCGUGCCGAAGCUAAUGCGAUAAGUAAUCCGCCUGGGGAGUACGGCCGCAAGGCUGAAACUCAAAGGAAUUGACGGGGACCCGCACAAGCGGUGGAGCAUGUGGUUUAAUUCGACGCAACGCGAGGAACCUUACCAGAUCUUGACAUCCUG
RNAcentral lists this ribosomal RNA (489 nucleotides) under uncultured bacterium. RNAcentral's name for it is "bacterial SSU rRNA". It matches the Rfam family "Bacterial small subunit ribosomal RNA", at positions 501 to 991 of the family's 1533-position model. The record is from RNAcentral.